CACUGUAACAUACCUAUACACAGCCUACAUCAACAUAAUGAUGAACGUGUGAAUGUUUUUACAGAAUUUUGUGACACAAGCUCACAUGAAUAAUCAAUUCCUGUCAUUAUUAUUUUAUAAUUUUGAUAUGUGGAACAUGAAUAUAUGCCUGAGCCUAAAGGACAUUCCCUGGACUCUUUAUUCCAUCAACAUUAGUGCCUGGAACUCACUUCCAUAUGCAGCCUCUCCUCCUGUGUAGCUAACAAUGUCACCUCCAUGGGUAUCUCAGUGAGUAGGUAAACAACCAAAUCUAAAUGCUAUCUUAGCCUUUGAUGAGUCACAGACCCCUUGCAGUGUGUCAUUUGGGGUGGGGGGCAUGUCCUACGAAAAAUCUCAAAUGGUAUUUUAUUAGUUCAUUACCUUUAACCAGGCCAGGUAUGGGGGCAAGGGGGCUUGAUGAAGGGUUGUUGGGCCAAGCCAGGCCAGGGUUGGGCUCUUGUGGGGGCUAAUGCCCCUCAGUGGUGGAGGGGGACCAGGUCUUUGUCCCAGUGGAGGGGAUUACACCGGCGGGGCGGCCCUAACAAUGUCUCCCCUCCUGGGAGGGCUGGGCAAACCUGCUCCCCCCAAUGACGGGUGUGGUCAACUGCUCACUGACUCAGUUAAACACAGUGAGAGAGAGGAGGAGAAGAGAGGGAUAGGAGGAGGAGAUGAAUGGAGGGGAGAGAGAAGAAUGAGCAGCAUGGAGUGAUACUCAACAAGGGUAACAGGGUAACAGAGAAGGAGAAAGUGGAGAGGAGAGGAUGGAGGUUGGAGAAGAAGAGGGUGGAGGUUGGAGGAGGAGAGGGUGGAGGUUGGAGGAGGAGAGGAUGGAGGUUGGAGGGGGAACGAGUUAAGGUUGGAGGAGGAGAGGAUGGAGGUAGGAGGAGGAGAGGAUGGAGGUAGGAGGAGGAGAGGAUGGAGGUUGGAGGGAGAGCGAGUUAAGGUUGGAGGAGGAGAGGAUGGGGUAGGAGGAGGAGAGGAUGGAGGUUGGAGGAGGAGAGGAUGGAGGUUGGAGGAGGAGAGGAUUAAGGUAGGAGGAGGAGAGGAUGGAGGUAGGAGGGAGAGCGAGUUAAGGUUGGAGGAGGAGAGGAUGGAGGUUGGAGGAGGAGAGGAUGGAAGUUGGAGGAGGAGAGGAUGGAGGUUGGAGGGAGAGCGAGUUAAGGUUGGAGGAGGAAAGGAUGGAGGUUGGAGGAGGAGAGGAUGGAAGUUGGAGGAGGAGAGGAUGGAGGUUGGAGGAGGAGAGGAUGGAGGUUGGAGGAGGAGAGGAUGGAGGUUGGAGGGAGAGCGAGUUAAGGUUGGAGGAGGAGAGGUUGGCGGGAGGAGGAGGAGAGGAUGGAGGUUGGAGGAGGAGAGGAUGGAGGUUGGAGGUUGGAGGAGGAGAGGAUGGAGGUUGGAGGAGGAGAGGAUGGAGGUUGGAGGAGGAGAGGAUGGAGGUUGGAGGGAGAGCGAGUUAAGGUUGGAGGAGGAGAGGAUGGCGGUAGGAGGAGGAGAGGAUGGAGGUUGGAGGAGGAGAGGAUGGAGGUUGGAGGAGGAGAGGAUGGAGGUUGGAGGAGGAGAGGAUGGAGGUUGGAGGGAGAGCGAGUUAAGGUUGGAGGAGGAGAGGAUGGCGGUAGGAGGAGGAGAGGAUGGAGGUUGGAGGAGGAGAGGAUGGAGGUAGGAGGAGGAGAGGAUGGAGGUUGGAGGAGGAGAGGAUGGAGGUAGGAGGAGGAGAGGAUGGAGGUUCGAGGAGGAGAGGAUGGAAGUAGGAGGAGGAGAGGAUGGAGAUAGGAGGAGGAGAGGAUGGAGGUAGGAGGAGGAGAGGGUGGAGGUAGGAGGGGGAGAGGGUGGAGGUUGGAGGAGGAGAGUAUUAAGGUAGGAGGAGGAGAGGAUGGAGGUAGGAGGAAGAGAGGGUGAAAGGAUCAGGUGUGGUAGGAGGAGGAGAGGGUGAAAGGAUCAGGUGUGGUAGGAGGAGGAGAGGGUGAAAGGAUCAGGUGUGGUAGGAGGAGGAGAGGAUGAAAGGAUCAGGUGUGGUAGGAGGAGGAGAGGAUGAAAGGAUCAGGUGUGGUAGGAGGAGGAGAGGAUGAAAGGAUCAGGUGUGGUAGUAGGAGGAGAGGAUGAAAGGAUCAGGUGUGGUAGGAGGGAAAGGAGACCAGUGGCUCAAAGAACAAGAAGAUAAAUAAAGGAGUGAAGGAGAAGAGCGGAAUGGUGAGCUAGGUGAGGAUGACUCUGCAGGUACUGGAUGUAAAAUGUGUAAGUCUGAGGCCUUUCCUUAUGUACUUCAAUAUCAAAGUCCUCAUUAUGCCCACGCACACCGCCCAUUCAAAUCCAAUGACAAAUGCACCAGAUAAUUCCAUUAGGGGGGACUUCUAUAGAGGAUAUUUAGGGGACAGUAGAGAAAUCCAGGUAACAUAGCUCAACGCGGGCAAAGACAGAUAUGGCUCCGUAACACUUAUCAGGGAUUUGGCAGCCCUGUUGAUUGAACAUGCCAAGUCCCAUUUGUCGGAGGGGUGUGCACGUUUGUAUCGACACGCUGUAACCUUGUGGCUCCACAGAAGGAGACAUCAGAUGUGCUGCUAGCGGGCACACAGGCAGACAGGCAGGCAAGCAGGAGAGGGUGGGUGGGUUGGUAGGCUCCCCUCCUCUUCCCUUCUCUCUACUUCUCUCUCUCCUACUCUCUUCUCCUCUUCCGGCUGCAGUGGACAGGAGCCCCCCUCCUCCAUCCCCAGUGGACGGGAGCCCCCCUCCUCCCUCCAUCCCCAG
RNAcentral lists this long non-coding RNA (2757 nucleotides) under Salmo salar (Atlantic salmon). Its description in RNAcentral is "lncRNA (ENSSSAG00000104316.1)". Lineage: Eukaryota; Metazoa; Chordata; Actinopteri; Salmoniformes; Salmonidae. The record is from RNAcentral.